Microcebus murinus (gray mouse lemur) is the source of this 921-nucleotide non-coding RNA. NCBI's taxonomy places the organism in Eukaryota, Metazoa, Chordata, Mammalia, Primates, Cheirogaleidae. The record is from RefSeq and is a predicted model, not a curated record.
GCUGUCAGGAAGGGGCUUUGAGGACAGCGGCGUGCUCCGUGCCCAGGUGCCCCCAGCCGUCCCCGCCCAGCGCCGGCGGCCUGGGCGACAUCACCGCGUGGGGCACACCCCCCUGCCAAGUUUGGGGUCCCACAAAUCUCCCUAAUCUCCAAGCCUUACUGAUCCAGCCCGUGAUAGAUGCUCAAUACGCAGCCGUGGCAUUAACCUGCACGUGACCUUGUUGGUUAGAAUUUAAACUCGGUUUUGAGAGAAGUUCAGAGUCAUCGGAGGUUUUUGAUGUUGACGGGGACGGAAAAAUUUGAAAACCAGCUGGGUGGAUGAGGAUGUGGGAAGAAAGAGGCACCCUCCUAUGGCAUAGGAGGGAGGGUGACAAGGAAUGACCUCUAAGAGUGCACUUUGACAGCAGCCGUCAAAGUGACAAGUGCACACACCCCGUGACAGAGAAAUUCCACGUCCAGGAAGCCAUCCCACAGAGAAAUUCAAACCUGGACACAAUGCCGCGUGCCCAGGGCUAUUCAUUACCGCAUUGUUUGUAAUGGCAGAACGUUGGCCCAAACCCAAGCAUCCAUCAGCGGGAGACCGGUUAAAUCAAUCACAGUUCCCCACACAAUGGAAUACUAUGCAGCCAGAAAAGAAGAAUGAGGAGACUCUUUCUGUAAUGACUAUUGUUAAGCGAAGAAAGCAAGGUGCAAUCAUUUGUACCGAAGCGUGGGGAGUGGGGAGAGAGAUAGAGCAACGUGAUCUCUUUGAACCACGGACACAGAAGAAACUGAGGACGUUGCUUGGGUCCAGCAAGGGGACUGGGUGACUGGGGGACAGCACAGCAGGGAGGUUUCACUGUCCGACUUUUAGGUUUUUAUAUAUACAAUAAGUAUAGGCUUUACCUAUUCAACAAAUGCAUAAAGUGCACAUUUUUUAAAA